GUGUGGAUAGCGGAGAAAUUCCAAUCGAACCCGGAGAUAGCUGGUUCUCCUCGAAAUAGCUUUAGGGCUAGCCUCAUGAGAGUCUUAUGGAGGUAGAGCACUGAAUUGCCUAGGGGGCGUCAAAGCUUACCAAAGCAUAUCAAACUCCGAAUGCCAUCAAGAUGAUUCAUGGGAGUCAGACCAUACGAGAUAAGUUGGAUGGUCAAAAGGGAAAGAGCCCAGACCUACAGCUAAGGUCCCAAAGUACGUGUUAAGUGGAAAAGGAUGUGGGGAUUCUAAGACAACUAGGACGUUGGCUUAGAAGCAGCCAUUCAUUGAAAGAGUGCGUAAUAGCUCACUAGUCGAGAGUCCCUGCGCCGAAAAUGUCCGGGGCUGAAACACGACACCGAAGCUUAGGAAUGUGUAAACAUUGGUAGAGGAGCAUUGCUGGCGGGAUGAAGCCAUACCGUAAGGAGUGGUGGACUGCCAGGAAGAGAGAAUGCCGGAAUGAGUAGCGAGAUGAAGGUGAGAAUCCUUCAGGCCGAAUAUCUAAGGUUUCCAGAGUAAAGCUGAUCUGCUCUGGGUAAGUCGGGACCUAAGGCGAGGUCGAAAGACGUAGUCGAUGGAUAACAGGUUGAAAUUCCUGUACCGCAUAUAAACAGAACUGUGGGGACACAGACAGGGAAUGGAAUCCGGGAAUGGAUAUCCCGGUGCAAGCGAGGUAGGAGUGCUGUUGGCAAAUCCGCAGCACGAUCUGAAGACGUGACGCGUACCGAACAUAAGUAGGGAAGUCCAGGCCCCUGGCUGUCAAGAAAAGCCGCUAUCGUUUUAUAUGUGCCCGUACCGCAAACCGACACAGGUGGAUGAGGAGAGAAUCCUAAGGCCGACGGGAGAAGUAUUGUUAAGGAACUCGGCAAAAUGACUCCGUAACUUCGGGAGAAGGAGUGCCAUGAGAGUGGCCGCAGAGAAAUGGCCCAAGCAACUGUUUAGCAAAAACACAGGUCUAUGCAAAACCGCAAGGUGAAGUAUAUGGGCUGACGCCUGCCCGGUGCUGGAAGGUUAAGGGGAGAGGUUAGCGCAAGCGAAGCUUUGAACUUAAGCCCCAGUAAACGGCGGCCGUAACUAUAACGGUCCUAAGGUAGCGAAAUUCCUUGUCGGGUAAGUUCC
Molecule: ribosomal RNA, 1146 nt
Filed under: human gut metagenome
Description: bacterial LSU rRNA
Rfam family: Bacterial large subunit ribosomal RNA
Source: RNAcentral